UCAUGCCCCUUAUGACCUGGGCUACACACGUACUACAAUGGCCGGUACAACGGGCCGCGAAGCCGCGAGGCGGAGCCAAUCCUUAAAAGCCGGUCUCAGUUCGGAUUGCAGGCUGCAACUCGCCUGCAUGAAGUCGGAAUUGCUAGUAAUCGCGGAUCAGCAUGUUGCGUUUAAUACGUUCCCGGGUCUUGUACACACCGCCCGUCACACCACGAGAGUUUACAACACCCGAAGUCGGUGGGGUAACCCGCAAGGGAGCCAGCCGCCGAAGGUGGGGUAGA
This 281-nucleotide ribosomal RNA is filed under the name uncultured Paenibacillus sp. RNAcentral describes it as "partial 16S ribosomal RNA". It matches the Rfam family "Bacterial small subunit ribosomal RNA", at positions 1193 to 1471 of the family's 1533-position model. The record is from RNAcentral. Lineage: Bacteria; Bacillati; Bacillota; Bacilli; Caryophanales; Paenibacillaceae.